This 587-nucleotide ribosomal RNA is filed under the name uncultured bacterium. RNAcentral's name for it is "partial 16S ribosomal RNA". It matches the Rfam family "Bacterial small subunit ribosomal RNA", at positions 355 to 1375 of the family's 1533-position model. The record is from RNAcentral.
UGGGGAAUUUUGGACAAUGGGCGAAAGCCUGAUCCAGCAAUGGCCGCGUGUGUGAAGAAGGCCUUCGGGUUGUAAAGCACUUUUGUCCGGAAAGAAAUCCUUGGCUCUAAUACAGUCGGGGGAUGACGGUACCGGAAGAAUAAGCACCGGCUAACUACGUGCCAGCAGCCGCGGUAAUACGUAGGGUGCAAGCGUUAAUCGGAAUUACUGGGCGUAAAGCGUGCGCAGGCGGUUUGCUAAGACCGACGUGAAAUCCCCGGGCUCAACCUGGGAACUGCAUUGGUGACUGGCAGGCUAGAGUAUGGCAGAGGGGGGUAGAAUUCCACGUGUAGCAGUGAAAUGCGUAGAGAUGUGGAGGAAUACCGAUGGCGAAGGCAGCCCCCUGGGCCAAUACUGACGCUCAUGCACGAAAGCGUGGGGAGCAAACAGGAUUAGAUACCCUGGUAGUCCACGCCCUAAAACGAUGUCAACUAGUUGUUGGGGAUUCAUUUCCUUAGUAACGUAGCUAACGCGUGAAGUUGACCGCCUGGGGAGUACGGUCGCAAGAUUAAAACUCAAAUGAAUUGACGGGGUCAUAGCUGUUUCCU